UGCCCAGCAACUCCUAUCCCUACCUUCUCGUGGUACCGGUCGGAAACUAUGAGCAACCUUAGGGAAUAUUAGGUAACCAACCCCUGUGGGAACUUUGGUCGUAUGCUGACAGGGAAGG
Molecule: non-coding RNA, 118 nt
Organism: Aedes albopictus (Asian tiger mosquito)
Lineage: Eukaryota; Metazoa; Arthropoda; Insecta; Diptera; Culicidae
Source: Rfam